Molecule: ribosomal RNA, 227 nt
Filed under: uncultured bacterium
Lineage: Bacteria
Description: partial 16S ribosomal RNA
Rfam family: Bacterial small subunit ribosomal RNA
Source: RNAcentral
CUGAACCAGCCAAGUAGCGUGAAGGAUGACUGCCCUAUGGGUUGUAAACUUCUUUUAUACGGGAAUAAAGUGAGGCACGUGUGCCUUUUUGUAUGUACCGUAUGAAUAAGGAUCGGCUAACUCCGUGCCAGCAGCCGCGGUAAUACGGAGGAUCCGAGCGUUAUCCGGAUUUAUUGGGUUUAAAGGGAGCGUAGGCGGGCGCUUAAGUCAGUUGUGAAAGUUUGCGG